RNAcentral lists this ribosomal RNA (400 nucleotides) under phytoplankton environmental sample. RNAcentral's name for it is "partial small subunit ribosomal RNA". It matches the Rfam family "Eukaryotic small subunit ribosomal RNA", at positions 587 to 994 of the family's 1831-position model. The record is from RNAcentral.
AGCUCCAAUAGCGUAUAUUAAAGUUGUUGCAGUUAAAAAGCUCGUAGUUGGAUUUCGGGGCGGCCUGGCUGGUCCGUCGCAAGACGAGUACUGGUCAGCCGCCCUUCCUCUCGAAAGCCCCGACUGCUCUUGAUUGCAGUGGUCGGGUAGUUCGGGACGUUUACUUUGAAAAAAUUAGAGUGUUCAAGGCAGGCUCUCGCCUGAAUACAUUAGCAUGGAAUAAUGGAAAAGGACCUCGGUCCUAUUUUGUUGGUUUCUGGGGCCGAAGUAAUGAUUAAGAGGGACAGUUGGGGGCAUUCGUAUUUAAUUGUCAGAGGUGAAAUUCUCGGAUUUAUGAAAGACGAACGACUGCGAAAGCAUUUGCCAAGGAUGUUUUCAUUAAUCAAGAACGAAAGUACGC